This 253-nucleotide ribosomal RNA is filed under the name uncultured bacterium. RNAcentral's name for it is "partial 16S ribosomal RNA". It matches the Rfam family "Bacterial small subunit ribosomal RNA", at positions 524 to 776 of the family's 1533-position model. The record is from RNAcentral.
UACGGGGGGGGCAAGCGUUGUUCGGAAUUACUGGGCGUAAAGGGCUCGUAGGCGGCCAACUAAGUCAGACGUGAAAUCCCUCGGCUUAACCGGGGAACUGCGUCCGAUACUGGAGGGCUUGAGUGUGGGAGAGGGAUGCGGAAUUCCAGGUGUAGCGGUGAAAUGCGUAGAUAUCUGGAGGAACACCGGUGGCGAAGGCGGCAUCCUGGACCAUUACUGACACUGAAAAGCGAAAGCCAGGGGAGCAAACGGG